This 500-nucleotide ribosomal RNA is filed under the name uncultured Alphaproteobacteria bacterium. RNAcentral's name for it is "bacterial SSU rRNA". It matches the Rfam family "Bacterial small subunit ribosomal RNA", at positions 355 to 874 of the family's 1533-position model. The record is from RNAcentral. Lineage: Bacteria; Pseudomonadati; Pseudomonadota; Alphaproteobacteria.
UAGGGAAUCUUGGACAAUGGGCGCAAGCCUGAUCCAGCCAUGCCGCGUGAGUGAAGAAGGCCUUAGGGUCGUAAAGCUCUUUCGCCUGUGAUGAUAAUGACAGUAGCAGGUAAAGAAACCCCGGCUAACUCCGUGCCAGCAGCCGCGGUAAUACGGAGGGGGUUAGCGUUGUUCGGAAUUACUGGGCGUAAAGCGCGCGUAGGCGGAUUGGAAAGUUAGAGGUGAAAUCCCGGGGCUCAACCCCGGAACGGCCUUUAAAACUCCCAGUCUAGAGUUCGAGAGAGGUGAGUGGAAUUCCAAGUGUAGAGGUGAAAUUCGUAGAUAUUUGGAGGAACACCAGUGGCGAAGGCGGCUCACUGGCUCGAUACUGACGCUGAGGUGCGAAAGUGUGGGGAGCAAACAGGAUUAGAUACCCUGGUAGUCCACACCGUAAACGAUGAAUGCCAGUCGUCGGAUAGUAUACUAUUCGGUGACACACCUAACGGAUUAAGCAUCCGCCU